UUUAUAACUCCAUGACAUUUUCAUUUCAUCAACCGACUUCUUUCCUCGUUUUACUUCAUCUUAAAGCAUCGAAUUUUGAUUCGGUUUAAACCAAUACGAGAUCACUGAUAUAACUAACGAUGAUGUGGCAUCAUUAGCACGGGAUCACUGUUGCUUAAUUACAAUUCAUCAGUGUAGCAAAAGUCGAGGUUGUCACAAUUCUCUCCCACUAACAAGAAUUCUCGUCCCGAGAAUUAAGAGGUAGAGG
Molecule: long non-coding RNA, 247 nt
Filed under: Hordeum vulgare
Lineage: Eukaryota; Viridiplantae; Streptophyta; Magnoliopsida; Poales; Poaceae
Description: long non-coding RNA (HVUL_LNC004783)
Source: RNAcentral